GGGCAAUCCUCAAACUCAAUCUACUAAUACUAAGAGAAGGUAUAUCGAAAAUCGGUUCGUCGACAUGAUGAACACAAAACAGAAAGGUGGAGGGAGGGGGAGGGGAGAAAAAACUCAGAUAAAACUGAGAAAAUAGCAAGUCCCAUGUCAUGAAGCUUUAAAAUCAAUCAAGAGAAUGGGAAGCAAACAAAAGAAUACACAACUCUAACGACGCGGCUACAAAAUGUUUGGGAGCUGAGCAUCCAGUCUCUGUUGCAGUUCCUUGACCUUGAUUGAAAGCUCGACGGUUUGCUCCUUGUAGUUCUUGAUCAGAUAAUCCUUCCCUUCGAUCACUUCUUUCAACUCAUCUUUUUCGCGCUUCAGCAUUUCAAACCUUUCUCCAUCUCCUCUUCCCUUCUCUGAAGUAUCUGAAUUCCUAUCAACUUCAAGGUGGCCGUUAGUAUGAUGACCAUAACGGACUUCAGCUGGCCAUACAGGUACUGUUGGGGGCUUAUCG
This 496-nucleotide unclassified non-coding RNA is filed under the name Hevea brasiliensis (rubber tree). The record is from RNAcentral. Lineage: Eukaryota; Viridiplantae; Streptophyta; Magnoliopsida; Malpighiales; Euphorbiaceae.